GAUUUAUCAUUAACUUAAGAUCUAAAAAUAAAAAAUCAACAUUGAUCUAAUCGAUGCUGCAGACUAGAUCUAACCCUUAGAUCUAUCAAAACUAGUUUGACAAGUUCAGAAACUAUUACCAAACUAUAAUCUGCUGAUAUUUGUUGGUCCAACAUAUGGAUAGGUGCUCCUUGAGGUUGCUCGUAGGCACAUAAAGAUGUUCGGCCUUUACAGAUAAUCCACAC
RNAcentral lists this long non-coding RNA (224 nucleotides) under Elaeis guineensis (African oil palm). RNAcentral describes it as "long non-coding RNA (EGUI_LNC049683)". Lineage: Eukaryota; Viridiplantae; Streptophyta; Magnoliopsida; Arecales; Arecaceae. The record is from RNAcentral.